This 806-nucleotide ribosomal RNA is filed under the name Bacillus paralicheniformis. RNAcentral describes it as "bacterial SSU rRNA". It matches the Rfam family "Bacterial small subunit ribosomal RNA", at positions 66 to 852 of the family's 1533-position model. The record is from RNAcentral. Lineage: Bacteria; Bacillati; Bacillota; Bacilli; Caryophanales; Bacillaceae.
GCGGACCGACGGGAGCUUGCUCCCUUAGGUCAGCGGCGGACGGGUGAGUAACACGUGGGUAACCUGCCUGUAAGACUGGGAUAACUCCGGGAAACCGGGGCUAAUACCGGAUGCUUGAUUGAACCGCAUGGUUCAAUCAUAAAAGGUGGCUUUUAGCUACCACUUGCCGAUGGACCCGCGGCGCAUUAGCUAGUUGGUGAGGUAACGGCUCACCAAGGCGACGAUGCGUAGCCGACCUGAGAGGGUGAUCGGCCACACUGGGACUGAGACACGGCCCAGACUCCUACGGGAGGCAGCAGUAGGGAAUCUUCCGCAAUGGACGAAAGUCUGACGGAGCAACGCCGCGUGAGUGAUGAAGGGUUUCGGAUCGUAAAACUCUGUUGUUAGGGAAGAACAAGUACCGUUCGAAUAGGGCGGUACCUUGACGGGACCUAACCAGAAAGCCCCGGCUAACUACGUGCCANCAGCCGCGGUAAUACCUGAGUGGCAAGCGUUGUCCGGAAUUAUUGGGCGUAAAGCGCGCGCACGNNGUUUCUUAAGUCUGAUGUGAAAGCCCCCGGCUCAACCGGGGAGGGUCAUUGGAAACUGGGGAACUUGAGUGCAGAAGAGGAGAGUGGAAUUCCACGUGUAGCGGUGAAAUGCGUAGAGAUGUGGAGGAACACCAGUGGCGAAGGCGACUCUCUGGUCUGUAACUGACGCUGAGGCGCGAAAGCGUGGGGAGCGAACAGGAUUAGAUACCCUGGUAGUCCACGCCGUAAACGAUGAGUGCUAAGUGUUAGAGGGUUUCCGCCCUUUAGUGCUGCAGC